GUAACACGUAGCCAACCUGCCCUGGAGACACGGACAACCCCGGGAAACUGGGAUUAAUCCGUGAUAGGUCAUCUCAUCUGGAAGGAGAGAUGGCUUAAAGGGGUACGCGGGCUUCUUCUGCGUAUCCGCUCCAGGAUGGGACUGCGUCCGAUCAGGCUGUUGGCGGGGUAAUGGCCCACCAAACCUGUAACCGGUACGGGCCUUGAGAGAGGUGGCCCGGAGAUGGACACUGAGAGAAGGGUCCAGGUCCUACGGGGCGCAGCAGGCGCGAAGCCUUCGCAAUGCGCGAAAGCGUGACGAGGUUAAUCCGAGUGGCCCCCGCUGAGGGGGUCUUUUGUCAGCUGUAAAUAGGCGGGCGAAUAAGGGGAGGGCAAGCCUGGUGUCAGCCGCCGCGGUAAUACCAGCUCCUCGAGUGGUCGGGGCGAUUAUUGGGCCUAAAGCAUCCGUAGCCGGUUCCGUAGGUCCUCUGUUAAAUCCAACCGCUUAACGGUUGACAUGCAGAGGAUACCGCGGGACU
Molecule: ribosomal RNA, 517 nt
Filed under: uncultured archaeon
Lineage: Archaea
Description: bacterial SSU rRNA
Rfam family: Archaeal small subunit ribosomal RNA
Source: RNAcentral